AUGGUGGGUCUGAGUACUAUAGCUCUUGACCUGACUUGUGAUUGGAUGUAAGUAUUUUCUAUCUUACGGUUAAAUAUUUUAAGAGAUAGAAGUUCACCAUUUUUACUUCUUAGUUUAUGGAGUGCCUCUUUUGGUGCCAUUCUAUUACUAUCUUAGCAUUAUCUGGCCCAAGUCUAAAAUUCACGUAAUGAAUUAGUGCCUAUCGAAG
Molecule: long non-coding RNA, 208 nt
Filed under: Elaeis guineensis (African oil palm)
Lineage: Eukaryota; Viridiplantae; Streptophyta; Magnoliopsida; Arecales; Arecaceae
Description: long non-coding RNA (EGUI_LNC044287)
Source: RNAcentral